GACGAACGCUGGCGGCGUGCUUAACACAUGCAAGUCGAACGGUGAAGCUCCAGCUUGCUGGAGUGGAUCAGUGGCGAACGGGUGUGUAACACGUGAGCAACCUGCCCCUGACUCUGGUAUAAGCGCUGGACACGGCGUCUAAUACUGGAUACGAGACGGGUCCGCGUGGGCACUUUCUGGAAAGUUUUUCGGUUGGGGAUGGUCUCGCGGCCUCUCAGCUUGUUGGUGAGGUAAUGGCUCACCAAGGCGACGACGGGUAGCCGGCCUGAGAGGGCGACCGGCCACACUGGGACUGAGACACGGCCCAGACUCCUGCGGGAGGCAGCAGUGGGGAAUAUUGCACAAUGGGCGAAAGCCUGAUGCAGCGACGCCGCGUGAGGGAUGACGGCCUUCGGGUUGUAAACCUCUUUCAGCAGGGAAGAAGCGAAAGUGACGGUACCUGCAGAAGAAGCACCGGCUAACUACGUG
Molecule: ribosomal RNA, 468 nt
Filed under: uncultured bacterium
Lineage: Bacteria
Description: partial 16S ribosomal RNA
Rfam family: Bacterial small subunit ribosomal RNA
Source: RNAcentral